GUUGUAUAGUCAAGUAAUUAAGUGCAUGUGGUGGAUGCCUUGGCAGUCAGAGGCGAUGAAAGACGUGAUAGCCUGCGAAAAGCUCCGGGGAGGCGGCAAAUAUCCUUUGAUCCGGAGAUGUCUGAAUGGGGGAACCCACCUACUUUAAGGUAGGUAUUGCAACAUGAAUACAUAGUGUUGCAAGGCGAACGAGGGGAAGUGAAACAUCUCAGUACCCUUAGGAAAAGAAAUCAAUUGAGAUUCCCUCAGUAGCGGCGAGCGAACGGGGAUCAGCCCAUUAAGUUAUGUGUGUUUUAGUGGAACGCUCUGGGAAGUGCGAACGUAGAGGGUGAUAUUCCCGUACACGAAAGGGCACACAUAAUGAUGACGAGUAGGGCGAGGCACGUGAAACCUUGUCUGAAUAUGGGGGGACCAUCCUCCAAGGCUAAAUACUCCUGACUGACCGAUAGUGAACCAGUACCGUGAGGGAAAGGCGAAAAGAACCCCUGUGAGGGGAGUGAAAUAGAUCCUGAAACCGCAUGCAUACAAGCAGUGGGAGCACCUUCGUGGUGUGACUGCGUACCUUUUGUAUAAUGGGUCAGCGACUUAUAUUCAGUAGCGAGGUUAACCGUAUAGGGGAGCCGUAGAGAAAUCGAGUCUUAAUAGGGCGUUUAGUUGCUGGGUAUAGACCCGAAACCAGGCGAUCUAUCCAUGAGCAGGUUGAAGGUUGGGUAACACUAACUGGAGGACCGAACCCACUGUCGUUGAAAAGCCAGGGGAUGACUUGUGGAUAGGGGUGAAAGGCUAAUCAAGCCUGGUGAUAGCUGGUUCUCCCCGAAAGCUAUUUAGGUAGCGCCUCGGACGAAUACCAUAGGGGGUAGAGCACUGUUUCGGCUAGGGGGUCAUCCCGACUUACCAAACCGAUGCAAACUCCGAAUACCUAUGAGUACUAUCCGGGAGACAGACUGCGGGUGCUAACGUCCGUAGUCAAGAGGAAAACAAUCCAGACCGCCAGCUAAGGCCCCAAAAUCAUAGUUAAGUGGGAAACGAUGUGGGAAGGCAUAGACAGCUAGGAGGUUGGCUUAGAAGCAGCCACCCUUUAAAGAAAGCGUAAUAGCUCACUAGUCGAGUCGGCCUGCGCGGAAGAUGUAACGGGGCUAAAACUAUGUGCCGAAGCUGCGGAUGUAUACUUUGUAUACGUGGUAGGGGAGCGUUCUGUAAGCCGAUGAAGGUGUGUUGAGAAGCAUGCUGGAGGUAUCAGAAGUGCGAAUGCUGACGUGAGUAACGACAAAACGGGUGAAAAACCCGUUCGCCGAAAGACCAAGGGUUCCAGUCCAACGUUAAUCGGGGCUGGGUGAGUCGACCCCUAAGGCGAGGCCGAAAGGCGUAGUCGAUGGGAAAAUGGUUAAUAUUCCAUUACUUCUGUGUAAUGCGAUGAGAGGACGGAGAAGGCUAAAUCAGCCUGGCGUUGGUUGUCCAGGUGAAAGGAUGUAGGCAUGUAUCUUAGGCAAAUCCGGGGUACUCUAUGCUGAGAUCUGAUAGCAAGCUGUACUUGUACAGCGAAGUGGUUGAUGCCAUGCUUCCAGGAAAAGUCUCUAAGCUUCAGUUACACAGGAAUCGUACCCGAAACCGACACAGGUGGUCAGGUCGAGUAGACCAAGGCGCUUGAGAGAACUCUGCUGAAGGAACUAGGCAAAAUGGUACCGUAACUUCGGGAGAAGGUACGCUGUUGUUGGUGAUGGAACUCGCUUCCUGAGCUGACGACAGCCGCAGAAACCAGGCCGCUGCAACUGUUUAUUAAAAACAUAGCACUCUGCAAACACGAAAGUGGACGUAUAGGGUGUGAUGCCUGCCCGGUGCUGGAAGGUUAAUUGAUGGGGUUAGCGUAAGCGAAGCUCUUGAUCGAAGCCCCAGUAAACGGCGGCCGUAACUAUAACGGUCCUAAGGUAGCGAAAUUCCUUGUCGGGUAAGUUCCGACCUGCACGAAUGGCAUAAUGAUGGCGGCGCUGUCUCCAGCAGAGGCUCAGUGAAAUCGAAAUCGCUGUGAAGAUGCAGUGUACCCGCGGCUAGACGGAAAGACCCCGUGAACCUUUACUGCAGCUUGACACUGAACUUUGACCUUACUUGUGUAGGAUAGGUGGGAGGCUUUGAAGCUGGAACGCUAGUUCCAGUGGAGCCGUCCUUGAAAUACCACCCUGGUAAUGUUGAGGUUCUAACUCUGUCCCGUGAUCCGGGACGAGGACCGUGUCUGGUGGGUAGUUUGACUGGGGCGGUCUCCUCCUAAAGAGUAACGGAGGAGUACGAAGGUGCGCUCAGCGUGGUCGGAAAUCACGCGUAGAGUAUAAAGGCAAAAGCGCGCUUAACUGCGAGACCCACAAGUCGAGCAGGUACGAAAGUAGGUCUUAGUGAUCCGGUGGUUCUGUAUGGAAGGGCCAUCGCUCAACGGAUAAAAGGUACUCUGGGGAUAACAGGCUGAUACCGCCCAAGAGUUCAUAUCGACGGCGGUGUUUGGCACCUCGAUGUCGGCUCAUCUCAUCCUGGGGCUGAAGCAGGUCCCAAAGGGUAUGGCUGUUCGCCAUUUAAAGAGGUACGCGAGCUGGGUUUAGAACGUCGUGAGACAGUUCGGUCCCUAUCUACCGUGGGCGCUGGAAAUUUGAGAGGAUCUGCUCCUAGUACGAGAGGACCAGAGUGGACGAACCUCUGGUGUACCGGUUGUGACGCCAGUCGCAUCGCCGGGUAGCUAUGUUCGGAAGGGAUAACCGCUGAAAGCAUCUAAGCGGGAAGCCUACCUCAAGAUAAGAUUUCCCUAGGACUUUAUGUCCUCUAAAGAGCCGUUCGAGACUAGGACGUUGAUAGGUUGGAUGUGGAAGCAUAGUGAUAUGUGAAGCUGACCAAUACUAAUUGCUCGUGAGGCUUGACUAUACAACACCCAAGCAGUUG
Molecule: ribosomal RNA, 2919 nt
Filed under: Acinetobacter baumannii
Lineage: Bacteria; Pseudomonadati; Pseudomonadota; Gammaproteobacteria; Moraxellales; Moraxellaceae
Description: bacterial LSU rRNA
Rfam family: Bacterial large subunit ribosomal RNA
Source: RNAcentral